RNAcentral lists this unclassified non-coding RNA (646 nucleotides) under uncultured Prochlorococcus sp. RNAcentral's name for it is "partial 16S-23S ribosomal RNA intergenic spacer; may also contain 16S ribosomal RNA and 23S ribosomal RNA". The stretch from base 306 to 378 matches the Rfam family "tRNA". The record is from RNAcentral. Lineage: Bacteria; Bacillati; Cyanobacteriota; Cyanophyceae; Synechococcales; Prochlorococcaceae.
UUGUGGAGGAGGACGCCGAAGGUGGGGCUAAUGACUGGGGUGAAGUCGUAACAAGGUAGCCGUACCGGAAGGUGCGGCUGGAUCACCUCCUAACAGGGAGACAACAAAAUGUUUUAAAUUACUAUUUUGUCACCUUAGGUCGAUCGGAAUCUCACAUUCUUAAUUUAUAUAAGAAUUUCAUUUCCUAAGUUUUUCUAGGUCACACCCAUUAUUUUUCCUGGGCCAUUAGCUCAGGUGGUUAGAGCGCACCCCUGAUAAGGGUGAGGUCCCUGGUUCAAGUCCAGGAUGGCCCAUAUCUCUAUGUUGGGGGUAUAGCUCAGUUGGUAGAGCGCCUGCUUUGCAAGCAGGAUGUCAGCGGUUCGAGUCCGCUUACCUCCACUGAUUACCACCUCUUCCAUAAUCUGUAGAAAGGAAAUUUUUUGAGUUGUGAUCAAAUCCUGAACGAAUCUAGCUUCCUAAUGAAAUCAUUAAGAUGCUGGACUCAUUGAAUUAAAUUCAUUGUUUUCAGAGAACCUUGACAACUGCAUAGAUUAUUUUAAAGACAAUAAGCAUCUUUAAUGAUGCAGAUUUAUUAUUUGUGCGAAUGCAUUAAUAACAAUUCUAUUAAGCUGAUGCUUCAAUUUUGAAGUUAUUGGUCAAGCUACAA